GCUUCACCUGUAUUUUUACACAGCGACUGAAAAACCUGUUGGUGACUGAGACUAGCAUGUACUAAAAAAGGUUUGUGCCGACGGGUUCCUAACAACAUUAUGAGAGAGUCGCAUCCAGCAUUCAUUCUAUUGUUUAUUUGGAUUUUUUUAGGCUGCAGAUUUUAACCUGUUUUGGGUGAUGACGCUCAGGAACAGGAGACACGCUGCAGGCCGGAGUCAGUGGAUUGGAGCAGCUGUUUAGUUUUUGCCAUAGUCUCUAGCAGGUGAACAUCCCUCCCCACCAUCCCCUGCUGGCCCCCCUUCCCUACAACCAGAGAACCCGACGGGAGGUGGGGUGGAGGGGGUCGGCUGUGGUACACUCACCGCAGGCGAACACGCAGGCAUCGCGGAUGCCUUUGUGCUUGUGGCCGGACGCGUCUUUCUGCAGCUUUCGCAGGAUUUCCUCCAUGCUGGCUCCCGGGGAAUGGACGGGCGCUAAGGAGUCAGUGCCUGGCUGGGUGGCUGCGUUUGUGUACGUGCGCGUUUUGUCUGUGGUAUUUUUAAGGGUGCCGUGGCAGUGACAGCAUCCCUGGACCCCCCCAACGAAGACGAUGAUUCAUCCCAGCCACACCACAGGCCGGCGAUCAACCCCGAGAGAGCUGGAAGGAGGAAGCGUCUCUUUCCCUGGGAAUAAACCCGCGGCUACGGCCUCCAGACACAGCAGCGAGGAUCACCUGACACAAUAAUAAUCCGAGCAGCGACCAUCACACACUGUCAUCCGUGCAGUGGUGGGGGAAUUAAACGAAUAAACGCCCCUUCUCUCGUCUACGUCGCUCGUUUAAUUCCUGGUUUUCAAAAAUCCGUUCCAGCUGCUCCUUGUGUUCUUCCCUCAAACCAGAUCCGGUUCCUUCCGUCCCUCGCACCAGGCUUCCUGUGCACCUCCAGGAAUACGCCUCAGCGCUGUGGCUGCAGCGGCGACGACAGCGACCUCCGUCUAAAAGGCGGAUUCCUCUCCAACCUGGCAACACAGUAUUUACACGGUCGUUCCUUGUGGGGACGCGUGAAACUGUGGCCCGGGUUCCUGGAGUCACUGGAUCCGGACUCUCUGCCGCUGCCGGGCGACAGGUGGAUGAGGCUCCGCCUUCAGUAAACACCCUUCAGACACCAAGCGAUGGAUUUAAAUAGAAACGUUUUUGACAAAAUAAUAUUCAAUAUUUGGUUAAUUCCUUUGUAUUUUCUGAAAAACCUGAAAAAAAAAAAAAGAUUUGGGCCAUUAUUGUAACAGGGUGUCGAUAUAUAUAAAAUGAAUAAAUGUACUGGAUACAUUUAA
Molecule: long non-coding RNA, 1309 nt
Organism: Mugil cephalus (flathead mullet)
Lineage: Eukaryota; Metazoa; Chordata; Actinopteri; Mugiliformes; Mugilidae
Exons: 2
Source: RefSeq, a predicted model, not a curated record